CGGGUUGAAGAACAAGGCUAUGGAUGCGCGCUCAGAAAUACAGCCAGCAUUGAAUCUUUUGACUCUUUCUACUCCCAGUCUGCUACAACUAGAGGUAAUUAAGGAGGUGCGCAAUCAUUUCUGAGCUACAGUCUGGGCUCACUGAAAAGGAAAUUAUGCGCUCGUCAAAGGAAUCUUUUGCUAUCAUGGGAAGGUAGUUCUUCCCAAAAAUAAGUCUUAUCUUGGUGCCAGGACUUAUGGGACACAAUAAAAAUAAUCUGGUGUAAUAAGAUAUUUUUUUAUUUCAGCAAUUUCUUAGUUUUAAUCAUAAGCAUUUUUAAUUAGAAAUUUUAAACAUGUCUAAUUGGUAAGUAUAAAACUGUGUUAUGUUUUAUUGGCGGAAAAAAACUUUUGUCGAUGUGCUUAGAAUACAUCUUGUUUGGUAGCGAUUUAAAUUAUAAAAUUUGGAUCGUUACAACUCAAGAUACAGCUCUCUAGAAAACAUUUGAGGAUGAAACAAGCUGCAAACGGCGUCAUCCCUUAUAAUGAAAUCACAUUCUCUACUCCAAUUGCUGUUUUUGUUUCUGUAUUCCUGAUUUAUCUGCUAGGCCAGUCUUGUUGGUUCUGGUUUGUUGUUUUGAUGAUCCCUACCUUAUUGACCGCAACUUCAGUAUUUUUAAUUGCCUUCAUUGCUACUCCUCUAGUAGAUAUUGAUGGUGACAUUCAGUUCGAAGUGGGAGAGUUAGUUUAUCUCAAGCUUUGUCACUAUCAUCAGAAAUCUGUUGUGAAGAGACCAUUUGAAAAGCUGUCUCCCUAGAUACUAUAGUUUGAGGUGGAGUUCAGAGUAGUACAGGUUCCAGACAAACUGAAAAUUCCGCCCACCAUGGCGAUUCAUUCAGUUUUCCAUGUUUACCAACUCCGUAAAGUAAUUGGGAAUUCACAGCCUAUUUCUUCAUUUCCUUCACAACUAACCACUACUGGGAAUUCAUUUUGGAGCUGGAGACCGUGUUAGAGUUUGGCCUAAUCCUACCAACAACACAAUUUCGGGGCCCGAAAUUUUGAUCAAAUGGAAGAAUCUAAUGGAUUUUGAGGCGACAUGGGGAAACCUCUGAAACAAUCAGGAUGCAGUUUCCUAGUUUCCAACUUGAGGACAAGGUAGAUUUUGGGGCAGUAAGGCAUUGAUAGACCCCAACCAAGUUCACGUACGAAAGAAGGAAAAAGGAGAAUGGCAUAACAUAGUUGCAUCCAAGUCCAAUAUUCCAGAAUGUUCACUAGUUAGUUAGUAUGAAGGUCAAAAGGGUAAUAGUGCUAUAGUAAGGGAAUGCCAAUAAAUGUGAAGAGAGGGGAAUCUAGGGUGUAUCCAUUCACUGAAAUUCAGUUAGGAAAAGGAGAGACCAUGCCCCUUAAAUUGCCUUAGAUUGUUCUGUUGCAACUGUGCUCACUCAUCACAUAAACACUUGUUCUAAGUCUUCAAUUCAAUAUAGAAUUCCAUUUACAAUCAACAUUUUCAUUCUACAUUCAUUCUUCUACUAUACUAUUGGCCUAAUAGUUAUAUUGACAUCUGAUUCACAGGUUCAUCACAGUGGCAACCGGGGAUUCUAUCACUUGUCACCUAUUCUGCUAUCUGUGCCCACUUUGUCUGUAUAAUGCUUUUAUUUUUAUAUUUUGAUCUGCAUUCACAACUGCACCCUCUAUUACUAAAUUGUUUACUCUAUUGGCUUGGAGCUUCAUGAAUGAAUGAAUGAAACCUAAAUUGUAGUAAAUAUUAGAUGUCCGACUAAAAAUAUGCACUUCUUAGCUGCUCAAGCUUUUUCCAUCUUUUUUAGUGUUUUUUAUUUUUAUGUAUUCCUAGGAAUCCAAACCACAAAAAAUAAAAAAUAGUCCAAGUACUUCGCUCACAAAAAUGCAGAUCCAAGUAGAGUGAAGGAGAGUAAUAUUGCCUAUUAUCUUAGCGAAAACAACUUUUAUACUAGAAUAAGCAAUUUUAGAGUGCCUGUCCAACACUGUUCCAUAGAAGUGAGUUUAGGACUGAGACUAACGAGGAUCAUGGCACACUGAAGAGCACACUGCAGACAAGUGAUAAUGCGUUGAAAAUUGAAGUGACAUUUAUUGGUCUACCUAUUGCAUAAAUUAUUGGAAAAAUUGUGAUUUCUUUCCAGAAAGAAAGAGAAUAAGAAA
RNAcentral lists this long non-coding RNA (2157 nucleotides) under Olea europaea subsp. europaea. The record is from RNAcentral. Lineage: Eukaryota; Viridiplantae; Streptophyta; Magnoliopsida; Lamiales; Oleaceae.